UACGUAGGGGGCAAGCGUUGUGCGGAAUGACUGGGCGUAAAGGGUGCGUAGGCGGUGUAGCAAGUUAGAAGUGAAAUACCUAGAGCUUAACUCAGGUGCUGCUUCUAAAACUGCUAUACUUGAGUGCAGUAGAGGAAAGUGGAAUUCCUAGUGUAGCGGUGGAAUGCGUAGAUAUUAGGAGGAACAUCAGUGGCGAAGGCGACUUUCUGGACUGUAACUGACGCUGAGGCACGAAAGUGUGGGGAGCAAACAGG
Molecule: ribosomal RNA, 254 nt
Filed under: uncultured bacterium
Lineage: Bacteria
Description: partial 16S ribosomal RNA
Rfam family: Bacterial small subunit ribosomal RNA
Source: RNAcentral